This 253-nucleotide ribosomal RNA is filed under the name uncultured bacterium. Its description in RNAcentral is "partial 16S ribosomal RNA". It matches the Rfam family "Bacterial small subunit ribosomal RNA", at positions 524 to 776 of the family's 1533-position model. The record is from RNAcentral.
UACGAAGGGGGCUAGCGUUGUUCGGAAUUACUGGGCGUAAAGCGCGCGCAGGCGGCUAUCCAAGUCAGUGGUGAAAGCCCGGAGCUCAACUCCGGAACUGCCAUUGAUACUGAGGGUCUUGAGUUCGGGAGAGGUGAGUGGAACUGCGAGUGUAGAGGUGAAAUUCGUAGAUAUUCGCAAGAACACCAGUGGCGAAGGCGGCUCACUGGCCCGAUACUGACGCUGAGGUGCGAAAGCGUGGGGAGCGAACAGG